AGUGAACGCUGGCGGUAGGCCUAACACAUGCAAGUCGAACGGCAGCACAGUAAGAGCGUGCUCUGACGGGGGGCGAGUGGCGGACGUGUGAGGAAUACAUCGUAAUCUACUUUUUCGUGGGGGAUAACGUAGGGAAACUUACGAUAAUACCGCAUACGACCUACGGGUGAAGGCAGGGGAUCUUCUCACCUUGCGCGGUUGAAUGAGCCGAUGUCGGUUUAGCUAGUUGGCGGGGUAAAGGCCCACCAAGGCGAGGAUCCGUAGCUGGUCUGAGUGGAUGGUCACCGACCUUGGAGCUGGGCCACGGUCCAGGGUCCUACGAGAGGCCGCAGUGGGGAAUGGGGGACAGUGGGCGCAAGCCUGAUCCAGUCGGCCCGAGUCUGUGAAGGCGGCCUUCGGGUCGUAAAGCCCGUCUGUUGGGAAAGAACAGCAGCAGGCUAAUACCAAGCUGUUGUGACGGUAAUCAAAGAAUAAGCACCGGCUAACUUCGUG
RNAcentral lists this ribosomal RNA (492 nucleotides) under uncultured bacterium. Its description in RNAcentral is "partial 16S ribosomal RNA". It matches the Rfam family "Bacterial small subunit ribosomal RNA", at positions 29 to 507 of the family's 1533-position model. The record is from RNAcentral.